Molecule: transfer RNA, 77 nt
Filed under: Pseudomonadales bacterium
Lineage: Bacteria; Pseudomonadati; Pseudomonadota; Gammaproteobacteria; Pseudomonadales
Also listed under: 1 other name
Description: tRNA-Arg
Rfam family: tRNA
About the family: Transfer RNA (tRNA) molecules are approximately 80 nucleotides in length. Their secondary structure includes four short double-helical elements and three loops (D, anti-codon, and T loops).
Source: RNAcentral
CCGCCCGUGGCACAGCUGGAUAGCGCGGCCCCCUCCUAAGGGGCAGGUCACAGGUUCGACUCCUGUCGGGCGGACCA